AGCUCCUGAUCCCGAUAGCAGCAUCAGCCAGCGCGUCUUGCUUCAGUUUUUGUAUCCACUCCAUCACCUUCCUGGGGCUCAGAAUCAGAGGACUCCCUUCCUUCUACCUCUUUAUACAUUACCCUCUUGCGGUUCUCAAUAACUGUUUCUUAGGCGAAUUGUGUCAGAAGCUGAAGCCAGAUCCUUUGACUCCUAACCUGGUAGGUUUUCUCUAUACACAUUGCCAUCCACCUCUCCUUCCCCAUGUUGUCUGCUUGUAGAUCAUUCUUUUCUUCUCUCUCAUCUCAGCUUUUUCUCUCUCUUCUUUCCUGGCUCAACCAUCCUCCCCUGCUCUCCCCUGACCCCUGAUUCAUUUACUCCUGUCUUUUUCUCUGCCGUUCCCUAGGUACGGGGCCCAUACUCCCUGACGAUGCUAAUAUCUGAGAAUGUAGCUGUGUACCUCUCCAAGGAGUUAUGGCAACAAUAGAUCGCUAUUUAAAGAGAAUUCUACAGGGAUGUUAUGCAGGAGAAUUAGUAAAACCUGCUGUGUUUGGACUUCAUCACUCAGAUGGAGAAAGGCAAAAGAACAUGGAAUUGGGAAGGUGUCAAAAAAACAAACGAUCCCAAGGGACUCCCCAGCUGGAACAGAACUUGGGAGACCAGGUGAGUCCUAGUAAAUCCCUGAGUAUUCCUUUGUGGGUCUUGCCUCCACCUGCUGUCAUACAUGAU
Molecule: long non-coding RNA, 708 nt
Filed under: Vombatus ursinus (common wombat)
Lineage: Eukaryota; Metazoa; Chordata; Mammalia; Diprotodontia; Vombatidae
Description: lncRNA (ENSVURG00010005905.1)
Source: RNAcentral